This 298-nucleotide ribosomal RNA is filed under the name uncultured eukaryote. RNAcentral describes it as "partial 18S ribosomal RNA". It matches the Rfam family "Eukaryotic small subunit ribosomal RNA", at positions 1470 to 1796 of the family's 1831-position model. The record is from RNAcentral.
CCCUUAGACACUCUAGGCGGCACGCGCGCUACAAUGGGUGGAAGACCGUGUUACUGCCUUCGAAAGAAGGGGUGAAUCACGAAUUCUUACCCGUGAAUGGGAUAGUUUGUUGCAAUUUUCGGACUUGAACUAGGAAUCCCUUGUAAGCAUGCUCAAGAAUAGUGUGUUGAAUACGUCCCUGCCGUUUGUACACACCGCCCGUCGUUUCUUCCGACUGAUACUCAUUGUGAGUUGCAAGGACCCUUUAUUGGGAAAUUGCUGCGAAUGCUUUGUAUUGGAGGAAGAAAAAGUCGUAACA